RNAcentral lists this unclassified non-coding RNA (643 nucleotides) under Hevea brasiliensis (rubber tree). Lineage: Eukaryota; Viridiplantae; Streptophyta; Magnoliopsida; Malpighiales; Euphorbiaceae. The record is from RNAcentral.
AAACAAAAAUAUUGCAGCAUCUAAUGACUGAAAAAAUAUGCGUGCUCCUGCAAAGGAAAAAAUUCCUAAUGCUGCAAAAAUGUUGGAUGCCAGUUAAGCCACAAUGACAUGAAAAAUUUGAUUGCAUAGUGAAGAAAAAAGAGGAAUUCAAUUGGCAACAAUAUCUUUCAUAUCCUACAGACACCCUUAGUUACUUUUUUGUAUGCAAUUGCUAAGCCAAAUUGGGAAAACCUGAAAAAAAGAUUACAAAAAGAAAAGGAAAAAAUUGACACCAAAGAAAAUGGACAUUCAGUUCUACAUUUUAACUUGAAGAGGGCACCACGACAAUGUGCAAGGCAUCCUCAUGGUCACAAUGAAAUUCCACGAUUUCUACUUGCAUCCAAGAAAUCAAAACAUUUGACUGUAAUGCACACAAUCAAAUGGAUGUAAAGUGUCCACAAUGAACUGAAACAAAAUCAAAACAUCUACAGGCAGAAACUAGGAUUUUAAGCUGCCUAUGAAGUUGCAUGAGAUUCUAAAAAAUCUGAAAUUCAUCCAUGUGAUGCCAACAAGGACUGCUUCAACCUAUAAUUUCUCCAUGAGAUGUUCAGCAAGGACUGGAAAGAAAUGUCAAUGUGCUGCGCAUGUGUGCACAAGCACAGUG